This 279-nucleotide unclassified non-coding RNA is filed under the name air metagenome. RNAcentral describes it as "partial contains small subunit ribosomal RNA, internal transcribed spacer 1, and 5.8S ribosomal RNA". The stretch from base 1 to 46 matches the Rfam family "Eukaryotic small subunit ribosomal RNA", at positions 1786 to 1831 of the family's 1831-position model. The record is from RNAcentral.
AAGUCGUAACAAGGUUUCCGUAGGUGAACCUGCGGAAGGAUCAUUAUCGAGUUUUGAAGGGAGCUGACGCUGGUCCUUCGGGGCAUGUGCUCGCUCCCGUCGGAUCCAAUCCAACCACUGUGCACAUCAGAGGACCCGUUCCUGAGGCCAUGCAUUUGGUCGACGGGGCGGGCCUCCUCUCCUUUGUAUCACAAACCCUUGACAGUACCUAGAACGUCCAGUCGCCUGAGAAAUGGCACAACCUUAAUACAACUUUCAACAACGGAUCUCUCGGCUCUC